UACAGAGGGGGCAAGCGUUGUUCGGAAUUACUGGGCGUAAAGGGCGCGUAGGCGGCCUGUUAAGUCGAACGUGAAAUCCCCGGGCUCAACCCGGGAACUGCGUCCGAUACUGGCAGGCUUGAAUCCGGGAGAGGGAUGUGGAAUUCCAGGUGUAGCGGUGAAAUGCGUAGAUAUCAGGAGGAACACCGGUGGCGAAGGCGGUUCUCUGGGCAUUACCUGACGCUGAGGAGCGAAAGUGUGGGGAGCGAACAGG
Molecule: ribosomal RNA, 253 nt
Filed under: uncultured bacterium
Lineage: Bacteria
Description: partial 16S ribosomal RNA
Rfam family: Bacterial small subunit ribosomal RNA
Source: RNAcentral